Molecule: ribosomal RNA, 495 nt
Filed under: uncultured bacterium
Lineage: Bacteria
Description: partial 16S ribosomal RNA
Rfam family: Bacterial small subunit ribosomal RNA
Source: RNAcentral
GACGAACGCUGGCGGCGUGCCUAAUACAUGCAAGUCGAACGCUGAAGGAGGAGCUUGCUUCUCUGGAUGAGUUGCGAACGGGUGAGUAACGCGUAGGUAACCUGCCUGGUAGCGGGGGAUAACUAUUGGAAACGAUAGCUAAUACCGCAUAAGAGUAGAUGUUGCAUGACAUUUACUUAAAAGGUGCACUUGCAUCACUACCAGAUGGACCUGCGUUGUAUUAGCUAGUUGGUGAGGUAACGGCUCACCAAGGCAACGAUACAUAGCCGACCUGAGAGGGUGGUCGGCCACACUGGGACUGAGACACGGCCCAGAAGUCCUCGGGAAGCAGCAGGAGGGAAACUUCGGCAAUUGGCGGAAGUCUGACCGAGCAACGCCGCGGGAGGGGAGAAGGGUGUCGGAUCGGAAAGCUCGGUUGUAAGGGAAGAACGAGGGUGAGAGUGGAAAGUUCACACUGUGACGGUAUCUUACCAGAAAGGGACGGCUAACUACGUG